Molecule: unclassified non-coding RNA, 2614 nt
Filed under: Hevea brasiliensis (rubber tree)
Lineage: Eukaryota; Viridiplantae; Streptophyta; Magnoliopsida; Malpighiales; Euphorbiaceae
Source: RNAcentral
CCUCAGUUCAAAAUUAAUUAAAAAUAAAUCACACAUUAAUAUUAAUGUUAGUAAUAUACCGACAUAGAAGGAUUUUAUUAAGAGAAAUUUACUAUUUGAUUCUUGAAUUUUGAAUCAAUACUAUAACUUGAUUUCAUAUCUUAGAAAUUGAACGAUUUAAUCUCACUUAUACUUUUGUCAAAAUCAGAGAUCAUUUUGUCCAAUAUUGUCAUUAGUUUAAAUGAAAAGACAAAAACAAUAUUUAUUAAUCAAGAGAAAUUUACUAUUUAACCUAUGGAGUUUAACCGAUAUUACGAUUUGGUCUCUAUGUUUUAGAAAUUAAACGAUUUAGUCCUCAUAAAUAUAGGGACGAAGUUGUAAUAUUAGUCAAAACCAAUGGCCAAAAAGUAAAUUUCCCUUAAUUGAAUAAACAAUAUAAUUAUCUUUUCACUUAAACAGAUAGCAAUAUUGGACAGAAUGACCUCUUGACGGAAGCAUAAGUGGGAGACUAAAUCUUUCAAUUUCUAAAAUAUAAAAACUAAAUUAUAAUAUCGAUCAAAAUCCAAGAACCAAAUAAUAAAUUACCCUUUCACUAAUUAGCUUACAAAUGAUGUGGUAGACUGCUUAAAAAUUUCUCUUUUGCUAUUCAGGUCUACACUUUUUAUUCUUUUUUCUAUUCAGAUCAACGGGCAACAAGUUCCCUGCAAGAACCAAAAGUUGAAAAGCUUCAAAAACGGUCGCAGCCAUCGUAGAACACACUUCCAUCUAAAUCAGCUAAUCAUAGUUAAGUUGCAUAAAAAUAACAAUUUAGGAAAAAAAGAAAAAAGGAACUACCAUUUUGCCAUUUCUCCAUGGAUAUUAGUAUACAUUAAGCUCAACACAACAAUUCAAUGAGCAAUUGUUCAAGUGUUACCAAGGAGCCAGAAAAAUCUUGAAAAUGAAGAUCAUAAAUAUUUAUUAACAUAAAACCAUAAUAUUACAAAAUUGAGGCCAAUUCAAGCUCACACCAAAAUUGUGGCCCUAUAAUGGUACAUAAUGUUUAUGGUAAUUACUAUCCAUUGCAGAUAAUUUAAACAGGCAAGGAAGACCCGGUUUUCAUCAUUGAGAAAUAUGCUCGACCCCUUCAUUUUCCAUGGAUCGAGGCUCUGCAGCUGAUUUUGAAUUAUUUGGUAUCCAAAACGUAAGAACUGAGGAUGCAGCAACAAACAUGGCCCGGCGAGGUGCCCAUUUCAAGCACGAUGAGACACCUAUGUGACUGUUCCAGAAUGCAACCUCAUUUCUCAUGUUGAUAUUCCAGGCAUGCAAGGUUCCAUCUCCUGAGCCUGAUACCACAUACUGGCCAUCAGGAGUAAAAGUUGCCUCUAUAGUAGUAUUUGGAGAUGGUUCCAAACUGAAACCACAUCGCUUCUCUCCUCCAUAUGCAUCAAGAACAUAAAUAUUAUUACUUGUGGUUGUCAAAAGCAUUGAUUUGCCAUCAUUGCUGAAUUUAAUAUCACAAACCUCAGCUGUGUCUCCACCAACUAAAAAGGUGUCAAAGGGACCCUUGUCAUAUGAACGUGAAUCAAACAAUUUAAUCGCACCCCCUUCCAUUGCCACAGCAAAGACAAGACCUUGUUGGUCAUAUGCAACUGUAGGUCUACCACGUAGGCGCAAAAUUCCCUGGCAAGCGUUUACACGAAGAUCCCAUAUUCUGACGCUGUGGUCAAGAGAACCAGACAUGAAACUGUCAUUGAUCGGAGACAUGCAAAGGGAAACAACUCUACAACAGCAAAAGUAAUGAAAAUGGUUAACAUUGCAAUCUAGAAAAAAUUAAAAAUAAAAAGCAGCAAUGUUUAACGGCAUGUCACAGGGGUUGAGACUAUAAGGAAAGAAAAAGCGGAAAAAACCUCCAAACUAUCCUAAUGAUGCCAAGCCAAUACCCAUAAGUACAUAAAAUAAGAUACACUGUAAAAAAUAGCUCAAAUGACCAUUUCUCAUUACAACACACGCUAAUAUGUCCCAACUAUCUGGAGACGUCAUAUAAAACCCAACUUUUGAAACGAACUUCAAAAAUUGAGAUCAAGUUGAGGAAAAAAAAAAAUCUACAAACAACACUUAUCCCAAAAGAAAUUCACUUUGCUACCUAUAUCUACAGCAUAUGUAUUACAUAUACAUUCUUCAUACAUGAUCCUCAAAACUUCCAUAAGUUACUAAUAAAGUACCAAUAAGCAAUGUAAGCCAAACCUCUCCUUAUGCCCUUUGAAGUAGCGAAGACACCUAUUAUCAUACAUUGAUAGAUAUCGUAAGGAUUCUCCAUUAGAAUCCAAAUUGUAUUUAGAGGAACAAAUAACAGAGCUAGGGUGGUGGGUAAAACAAAUGCGGUCAGCACCAUGUUUCUUGUGAUAAGUUGUCUUGAGCAACUUAGCACUUGCAAUGUCAUAAAGCCGAACAGAAUCAUCCUCACUCGCCGUGACCAACAAAUCGUCUUUCCGAUGAAAAUCAACAGAAUUUAUUUUCCCACCAAAAUCUGAGAAAACGGCUCCAAUAGACAUGCUGCGAACUGUAUCGUCAUCCAACUCAGUGAUUGACGUCGUCGCCAUUUGUGGAUUUUUCAGAUUUGUGUGUGUAUGUGUGUGAAAGAUGUUUUCGUGUUUAG